Molecule: ribosomal RNA, 1346 nt
Filed under: uncultured bacterium
Lineage: Bacteria
Description: bacterial SSU rRNA
Rfam family: Bacterial small subunit ribosomal RNA
Source: RNAcentral
GACGAACGCUGGCGGCGUGCUUAACACAUGCAAGUCGAACGGAAAGGCCCUGCUUUUGUGGGGUGCUCGAGUGGCGAACGGGUGAGUAACACGUGAGUAACCUGCCCUUGACUUUGGGAUAACUUCAGGAAACUGGGGCUAAUACCGGAUAGGAGCUCCUGCUGCAUGGUGGGGGUUGGAGAGUUUCGGCGGUUGGGGAUGGACUCGCGGCUUAUCAGCUUGUUGGUGGGGUAGUGGCUUACCAAGGCUUUGACGGGUAGCCGGCCUGAGAGGGUGACCGGCCACAUUGGGACUGAGAUACGGCCCAGACUCCUACGGGAGGCAGCAGUGGGGAAUAUUGCACAAUGGGCGGAAGCCUGAUGCAGCAACGCCGCGUGCGGGAUGACGGCCUUCGGGUUGUAAACCGCUUUCGCCUGUGACGAAGCGUGAGUGACGGUAAUGGGUAAAGAAGCACCGGCUAACUACGUGCCAGCAGCCGCGGUGAUACGUAGGGUGCGAGCGUUGUCCGGAUUUAUUGGGCGUAAAGGGCUCGUAGGUGGUUGAUCGCGUCGGAAGUGUAAUCUCGGGGCUUAACCCUGAGCGUGCUUUCGAUACGGGUUGACUUGAGGAAGGUAGGGGAGAAUGGAAUUCCUGGUGGAGCGGUGGAAUGCGCAGAUAUCAGGAGGAACACCAGUGGCGAAGGCGGUUCUCUGGGCCUUUCCUGACGCUGAGGAGCGAGAGCGUGGGGAGCGAACAGGCUUAGAUACCCUGGUAGUCCACGCUGUAAACGGUGGGUACUAGGUGUGGGGUCCAUUCCACGGGUUCCGUGCCGUAGCUAACGCUUUAAGUACCCCGCCUGGGGAGUACGGCCGCAAGGCUAAAACUCAAAGGAAUUGACGGGGCCCCGCACAAGCGGCGGAGCAUGCGGAUUAAUUCGAUGCAACGCGUAGAACCUUACCUGGGUUUGACAUGGAUCGGGAGUGCUCAGAGAUGGGUGUGCCUCUUUUGGGGUCGGUUCACAGGUGGUGCAUGCCUGUCGUCAGCUCGUGUCGUGAGAUGUUGGGUUAAGUCCCGCAACGAGCGCAACCCUUGUUCACUGUUGCCAGCACGUUAUGGUGGGGACUCAGUGGAGACCGCCGGGGUCAACUCGGAGGAAGGUGGGGAUGACGUCAAGUCCUCAUGCCCCUUAUGUCCAGGGCUUCACGCAUGCUACAAUGGCUGGUACAGAGAGUGGCGAGCCUGUGAGGGUGAGCGAAUCUCGGAAAGCCGGUCUCAGUUCGGAUUGGGGUCUGCAACUCGACCUCAUGAAGUCGGAGUCGCUAGUAAUCGCAGAUCAGCAACGCUGCGGUGAAUACGUUCCCGGGGCU